GGCGACUGUCGCUACUUUUGGUC
RNAcentral lists this non-coding RNA (23 nucleotides) under Arabidopsis thaliana (thale cress). Lineage: Eukaryota; Viridiplantae; Streptophyta; Magnoliopsida; Brassicales; Brassicaceae. The record is from RNAcentral.